GAACGCACCUUGCACCCUUUGGUAUUCCGAAGGGUAUGCUCGUUUGAGUGUCAUUGUACUCUCACACUUCUGAUCUUUGGAUUGGGAGCGGUGGACUUGGGUGUUGCUGCUUUACUGUGGCUCACCUCAAAUGCAGUAGUGCAACUCUUGGUUGGACAUAGUACGGCGUGAUAAGUGUCUUCGCCGGCGCCUCACUAGAGGGUGGCUGAUCGGGAGCUCUGUGCUUCAAACCGUCUUCGGACAAUCUUUGACAACUUGACCUCAAAUCGAGUAGGACUACCCGCUGAACUUAAG
Molecule: unclassified non-coding RNA, 294 nt
Filed under: uncultured Sebacinales
Lineage: Eukaryota; Fungi; Basidiomycota; Agaricomycetes; Sebacinales
Description: sequence contains 5.8S rRNA gene
Source: RNAcentral